GAGGAAUAUUGGUCAAUGGGCGAGAGCCUGAACCAGCCAAGUAGCAUGCAGGAUGACGGCCCUCCGGGUUGUAAACUGCUUUUAGUUGGGAAUAAAAAAAGGGACUUAUCCCUUCUUGUAUGUACCUUCAGAAAAAGGACCGGCUAAUUCCGUGCCAGCAGCCGCGGUAAUACGGAAGGUCCAGGCGUUAUCCGGAUUUAUUGGGUUUAAAGGGAGCGUAGGCGGAUUGUUAAGUCAGCGGUUAAAGGGUGUGGCUCAACCAUGCAUUGCCGUUGAAACUGGCGAUCUUGAGUGCAGACAGGGAUGCCGGAAUUCGUGGUGUAGCGGUGAAAUGCUUAGAUAUCACGAAGAACUCCGAUCGCGAAGGCAGGUGUCCGGGCUGCAACUGACGCUGAGGCUCGAAAGUGUGGGUAUCAAACAGGAUUAGAUACCCUGGUAGUCCACACAGUAAACGAUGUAUACUCGCGGCUUGCGAUAGAUUGUAAGCCGCCAAGCGAAAGCAUUAAGUAUACCACCUGGGGAGUACGCCGGCAACGGUG
Molecule: ribosomal RNA, 539 nt
Filed under: uncultured bacterium
Lineage: Bacteria
Description: bacterial SSU rRNA
Rfam family: Bacterial small subunit ribosomal RNA
Source: RNAcentral